RNAcentral lists this ribosomal RNA (262 nucleotides) under uncultured archaeon. RNAcentral describes it as "partial 16S ribosomal RNA". It matches the Rfam family "Archaeal small subunit ribosomal RNA", at positions 748 to 1009 of the family's 1478-position model. The record is from RNAcentral.
UAGCCGUAAACGAUACUCGCUAGGUGUCGGCCACGGUGCGACCGUUGUCGGUGCCGUAGGGAAGCCGUGAAGCGAGCCACCUGGGAAGUACGGCCGCAAGGCUGAAACUUAAAGGAAUUGGCGGGGGAGCACAACAACGGGUGGAGCUUGCGGUUUAAUUUGGAUUCAACGCCGGAAAUCUUACCGGGACCGACAGCAACAUGAAGGCCAAGCUGAAGACUUUGCCGGAUUAGCUGAGAGGAGGUGCAUGGCGUAGUCGUGU